CCUACGGGGGGCAGCAGUGGGGAAUAUUGCGCAAUGGGCGAAAGCCUGACGCAGCGACGCCGCGUGAGGGAUGAAGGUCUUCGGAUCGUAAACCUCUGUCAGCAGGGAAGAACGGUCACUGUGCUAAUCAGCAGUGAAUUGACGGUACCUGCAAAGGAAGCACCGGCUAACUCCGGGCCAGCAGCCGCGGUAAUACGGAGGGUGCGAGCGUUAAUCGGAAUUACUGGGCGUAAAGCGCUCGUAGGCGGUAGGGAAAGUCAAGGGUGAAAUCCCCGCGCUCAACGUGGGAACUGCCUUUGAAACUGGCAAGCUGGAGUGUGUGAGAGGAUAGUGGAAUUCCAGGUGUAGGGGUGAAAUCCGUAGAUAUCUGGAGGAACAUCAGUGGCGAAGGCGACUAUCGGGCACAUAACUGACGCUGAGGAGCGAAAGCGUGGGUAGCAAACAGGAUUAGAUACCCUUGUAGUC
Molecule: ribosomal RNA, 465 nt
Filed under: uncultured bacterium
Lineage: Bacteria
Description: partial 16S ribosomal RNA
Rfam family: Bacterial small subunit ribosomal RNA
Source: RNAcentral